GAUUUACACACCUUGUUUCUAUUCAUCACGAACAGUCACUUAAGCACUCACCAACCUAUAUUCGGUCAAUCAAACACCACCAUCAGUCCUACUUUACAGUUAAAAAGAAACUUAAAAUCUACAGUCUAUUCAUAUAAUAGAGUAGCGUUACCUUCGAUCGAACCACAGUGAUCUCCACAAAUCUAGUCUUUAGCAAUUGAUUAGGAAUUCCUUGAAUCCUUCCUUAACUUUCAUACAAUUGCUAUCAAUUAUUACUAAAGGCAGAAGAAGAAAGAAAUAUUGAUUCGACAUUAACACAACCCCUCACCCUCGAUUUAAGGCGAAAAGAAAAUAGUAAAGUC
RNAcentral lists this long non-coding RNA (341 nucleotides) under Gossypium barbadense (sea-island cotton). Its description in RNAcentral is "long non-coding RNA (GBAR_LNC014167)". The record is from RNAcentral. Lineage: Eukaryota; Viridiplantae; Streptophyta; Magnoliopsida; Malvales; Malvaceae.